GAUCAUGGCUCAGAUUGAACGCUGGCGGCAGGCCUAACACAUGCAAGUCGAACGGUAACAUAAAGAAGCUUGCUUCUUUGAUGACGAGUGGCGGACGGGUGAGUAAUGCUUGGGAAUCUAGCUUAUGGAGGGGGGAUAACAGUUGGAAACGACUGCUAAUACCGCAUAAGCGCACGGUAUCGCAUGGUACAGUGUGAAAAACUCCGGUGGUAUGAGAUGGACCCGCGU
RNAcentral lists this ribosomal RNA (228 nucleotides) under uncultured bacterium. Its description in RNAcentral is "partial 16S ribosomal RNA". It matches the Rfam family "Bacterial small subunit ribosomal RNA", at positions 15 to 236 of the family's 1533-position model. The record is from RNAcentral.